CUGGGCCCCGCCCCCUUCCCGUCCCGUGAGGCAGCCGUGUGGGGUGUGGGGGGCGCGCAGAUUCUCUCUCCUCACCGCGGCUGCUGCUGGAGGAUGAAGGAGGGGUGGUGGUAGCAAUUCAAGACUGUCUUUCCUACCCUCUUCAGUGCCUUUCCUUGAUAAGCUGUUUAAACCAGAAGGCAGAGUGGCACAUGUGGCACCUGAUUGGGAUGGACUCACUAAAGGAUUUAACCCAGACUUCUGAUCCGCAAAUAUUACUGCUACAUUAACUGAUUUGCAACAAAGAAAGAAAACAUCAUCCAGUUGAUUUUAUUAUUUAAAUAUGGGCUCAAACCUUAAAUCUGACAAACUAAUAAAUA
Rhinopithecus roxellana (golden snub-nosed monkey) is the source of this 359-nucleotide long non-coding RNA. RefSeq lists it as uncharacterized. The transcript has 3 exons. Lineage: Eukaryota; Metazoa; Chordata; Mammalia; Primates; Cercopithecidae. The record is from RefSeq and is a predicted model, not a curated record.